Molecule: ribosomal RNA, 374 nt
Filed under: uncultured bacterium
Lineage: Bacteria
Description: bacterial SSU rRNA
Rfam family: Bacterial small subunit ribosomal RNA
Source: RNAcentral
GACGAAGGGGGCUAGCGUUGUUCGGAAUUACUGGGCGUAAAGCGAGUGUAGGUGGUUGUUCAAGUUGGAUGUGAAAGCCUUGAGCUCAACUCAAGAAAUGCAUUCAGGACUGAGCGACUAGAGGACCGGAGAGGAUAGUGGAAUUCCCAGUGUAGUGGUGAAAUACGUAGAGAUUGGGAAGAACACCAGUGGCGAAGGCGGCUAUCUGGACGGUUUCUGACACUAAGACUCGAAAGCGUGGGGAGCAAACAGGAUUAGAUACCCUGGUAGUCCACGCCGUAAACGAUGGGUGCUAGACGUUGGCGAGCUUGCUCGUCAGUGUCGCAGCUAACGCGUUAAGCACCCCGCCUGGGGAGUACGGCCGCAAGGUUGAA